ACACACACACACACAUACCCCCCCCCCACACAUACAUAUGUAUAUUCAUAUAAAACCACAAAUAAAGAGGAAAAAACUUACAUAAUUACAAAGUAAUCUAUGAACAUUCUACAUGUAUGUCAACUAAUGUAAAUGUGUAAUCUAACUAAAUCCUACUGUGGCACAUUAUAUCAUUUCUUUCAUGAAUUUGUUGUCUCUGUGAUAGAAAAGGAAGUCAAUGUGACCUUCUUCAUUUCCCAUGGACCCUUUGGAUUUUUUCCCAGCAUAGUGUGGGAAAACAGUUCCCUCCUCCGGUCUAUCUUUAGCUGCUUCGCUGUAGGCAGGGCUGUGUUGUCCAUUCAGAGAAAGUCCCAAUUCAUAUCCUAGUACUCCCAAAUAGUUCACAAGAUUUAAAUGAAUGCAUUUAUAAUCACAGUAAGUACAAAACAGAAAUGCAAAGCCAAAGUGAACAGAUAUGACCCUAAAUGUCUAGUAAUAAGACAUUUUAAGAUAAAUGCAUGCUAAUGUGCGUGCUAAGAGCUACUAUGCAAACAAAAACCGUACUGAUAAGUUACUGAAGGAGAGCUUUGUGUUAUUUUUUUUUAACAAAACUGCCAAGUAAUGCAAAAACAAAGUGAACAAAUAUGCCUAAACAUAAAUUAAAAAUACAUUUUUAGAUACAUGCCUCAUCUUUUAGAGCUCAAAUAAAAACACAGAAUAGGAACUGUGUAAUUAAUUUGUUUUAACACCAUACUGUAUAUGACAUUUUCUCACAUACUGUACACAUGAGAAAACUUGUCUUCCUUCUUUUAGUUUCAAAUGGACAGAUUCGCGGCACAGCGUGAGUUUGCAAGCGUCUUUACGGUGUAAAGUGAUGGACAUACAGAAUUAUACCUGCAGGGGGCACUCAUACUGCAUUAAAUGAAUAACAAACUGUUAAUUUAGCCAAAAUACAUAACAUAUGGAACAAUUAUGAUGCUAUAAUAUUGAUUAUUAUAUGGCUAAGGGUGGGUGUUAGGUUCACGUGAUUUUGCCAAGUAAGGGAUCAACAUCUUUUGAUGAUCCUGGAUCAACAUUAUUGUCCAAAAAUACAGACUUAACCCAGUCCCUACCCAUAAUUUAUUCCUAAAAUCAGUGGGAAGUGAUAGCUGAUUAACAAGAGUGUAGAAGAACCUGACCCUGAUUGGAAGCCUAAAACAGAUAUUUCCUGAAAAGUUAGAUCUCAGUUCUGAUUGGUUGAUUGGAAUGUUGAAGGCCAUUGAUCCAGGAACGUUGUACUUGGUGAAAUCACAUGUUGCGCAGUGAUACCCAGAAGCAUUGGGUGAAGCAUCAUAGCUGUGCCUUAUCAUGAAUAAAACACAGCUGCUGACCAAUCAGAAUCAAGGACUGGAAAAGACAAAAUAAGUAUCCAUAUAAUAAAGCAUAUAAACAAUUAAUAGUAUGCUACAUGCUAAUGCUAACAUUGCAAACUCAAUGGUGGAGCAUGAUGAUAAAAUCUGCCAAGGAAUGCCAAGCCAAAGUGUGCAAAUAUGCACUCAACAAGUUACACAAGCAGUUUGUGAUGGUUUUCAUAAAAUUGGCCAGGAAUGCAAAGUAAAUUAGUAAUAUGAGUUAACAUAAUGCACAACAUUACUGAAGAAGAGCUGGUUUUAUGUUGGUUUUCAUAAAACUGGCAAGGAAUGCAAAGCCAAAGUGAACGAAUAUGAACCUAAACUUAAAGUAAAAAUAUAUUUUAAGAUAAAUAACGCAGACUACAUGCUAAUGCUAACCUGCAAACAAACAUGGGACUGGAUGAGUUGGUAUGAAAACGCAUAUUUUACACACACACACACAUUCCGAUCCUGGCUUAUUAUUUUACAACAUACUCAAACCGAUCCAUUGUAAUAUGCUAGAUAUUGUUUCACUUUAAAAAAAAACUGAUUGAAAAUAUUUGGAUUUGAGUUUGUUCACAGAGAAAAUGACCAAUGAAAAAGUCCAAAACACACCAAACCUUAACUUAGCUUCUGGUUUUGAUGCUAAAACACGUUUUGCAGAAGUGUGAGAGGUCUCGUUUUGAUAUUGCCAUGCAGAACAGACUAAAAUAAGCCCUUCAUAGAGGCAUGUACCCCACACUGGUAUACCAUUUACAGUAAGUGCAGAGCGUCAGAACUAGUAACGUAAACCGCUGGCUCUAGGGAGCAUGAUGCAUUGAGCACUGUGUGGGGUGCAUGGGCGGCUAUGACAGAGAUGAGUCAGCAAUCUUACCAAGCAGAAAACAGAAAAAACAAAUUGAUUAGUCUUUAACGUUAAUCUUGAUCAAGAGCGUACCAUUCUCACAGACAGAUGACUCUCGGAGAGCUUUCAACUGGAGCGAGAAAAUUGAAUUGCAGGUCACAGUGAGAAGAGACUGUCGUCCAGCAGAAUGGCGUCAGACGUGGGCCGCAGCACUUGAGGUCAGCCGUUCACUCAGCGCACAGUGUUUAUUCUGCCUUCAGAUCCUCCUGGGAAGUUCCUACUUAAAGUUCGGAAGUCAUAAUUAUGAUGUGAAGUGAUUUUGCUUGAAAUAAUACAGAUGAGCUGAGCACAACACACAACAUUCUGAACUUAAUGGGAACAUUAUCGAAACAUUCUUUGAACUUUUUUGUUUGCUGGGAACUUGAAAAGCAUUUUUAGUUCCAGUGGAACAAAAUUAAGAUCAACUGAACCACAUUAGUUGUGAUUUAAGCUUUAUGUAUUUUAUUAAUCUUGUGUGACAGUAUACUGUAUAAUGAUAGAAAUUAUUCUUUUUUCAUUAUCACAAAACGUUUACCAGUUUUAAGAUUAACAUUAAAUCAACACCAACAGUCUUGGUUCCAGAAGUAUUUUUCUCAUUAAUUUUCUAUAAAGGAAUCUUUCAAAAAAAAAAAAGGAAGAAAGAAAGAAGGAAAAAAAGCCAUUAAAACUUCAAAGACCAAACAGCUUAAAGAUAACAAUAAAGAUAAAGAAGUCUUUGUAGUUUCAGUUUUUAAGGAAAAUGUCUAUUAUAUAUCAUAUAAAGUAUAAUGCAAAUAUUAAGUAUACUUUUAUUAAGCAUUAUACAACUGCAUUUGAAUAGUUCAUAUGUAUAAAUGUUAGUAAAUGUAUUUUAUUUAUUGAUUAAUUAAUUUAAAGGGGUCAUAUGAUGCUGCUAAAAAGAACAUUAUUUGGUGUAAAGAAAUGUGUUUAUGUGGUUUAAGGUUCAAAAAACACAUUAUUUUCCACAUACUGUAUAUUAUUGUUUCUUGUCUAUGCUCAUCGUUCUGAAAAGCAAGGUGUGCUCUGAUUGGCCAGCUAUCCAGUGCGUUGUGAUUGGCUGAAUACCUCAAGCGUGUGACGGAAAUAUUAUGCUCCUUAACAGAUUGUGAUGCCCUGUCCUGCUGGAGCGACGAGACAUGAACAUCAAAACCCAUUAUAAAUGUGAUAUAAACAUGAUUUCUUGUCAUGUUUUCUUUUGAAAGGCAAAAACAAUGUAGUUUUGCUUUCUCAAUUAAACCGCGUCACACACUGCCGGAUUCUACGAAGGAGCAUCCAUUGGGCUUGAGGCAACCACAUGUGCAGACUCUGCUUCGUUCACGGUGAAAGCCGAUUCAGUGAUACACAGUGCAAAGUUAAAGUAUUUCCUCAGUGAUGAGCACGGAUCAGCUCCAGGCAUGACGAAGAGGAUAUCGUCCUCUUUUGGAAGGUCAAACAAAGUAGUUUCGCUUUCACAGUGAAACACAUAGCGUCUAUACGACAUGGUGGCGGUGUCGACAACAAUAAUACAACUAGAAUAAAAGAUACGCCUUCUUUCUUUGCAUGAACAUUUGGGCAGCGUUAUGCAAAUCUUCUCACAUAGUGAUGUAGAGAUGUGGGGGCGUGUUUAAACGAGGCGUUUAGGCGGGUGUGGAAAAGACAACUUUUAUAAAGAAUAUCUCUUUGGAUUUGAGACUUUAGUAUUUGUAACUUUACAGAUAUUUAUGCACCAGAAGCACUCCAAAGAGAAAGGAAAAUUUAAAAUUGCAUCAUUUGACCCCAUUAAUUUAAUUAAUAUAUAUUUAUUUAUUUAUUUUUUGAUAACAUUCAAUGAAAAUUGCCUUGAAAUCACUGAUUUACAGCUUCUACAGAAGAACGUCUUUUCAGAGCUUGUGUUGAUCUGUCUCGAAAAGUUUGUAACUCUAUUGAGAAGACGAAUGGAUUGUACUUCUGGAACCCAGUUGUUGUGUUCUAUAGCAAUUCGCUUCUGCUGUCAUUUUAUCAUUGACACGAACCCAACAAUAAUGCUAGGGGCUGUUAUAAAAUCCCAUGCUUCUCAUUACUAAUUACGACAUCCUGGCGAAUAGACUGUGACGUGACUUGAAGACAGCACGGUUUAUUUAUUUUCAAGCUAAACUGCUGUGGACUGCUGUAGAGAGAAACGACAGAGCAUCACUGCCAAACUAGCUGAAGUAUUGUUGAUGAGCUGAUACACUUAUCACUGGCAAUAAAUGUUUCCCUGAAAAACACAAUCAGUUUGACAUCUGUCUUUUUCUGUGGUCAGACUUGUGACUGUUUAUUUUAACGGUGUGUUUACGUUGAGCUGUCCUCCUACGAUCUGUCUGCCAGUCGCGAACAGAGCGGUUGAGCUGUGGUUUAUGUGCACGCAGUUCAUUCCCAGAGUCUGUGUGUGAGGACACGUGUAAUGCUCUCUCAAAUGUCACUCACACAUGAGAUGUAAGCUUCAUGUUGUUGACAUACAAAAACUGCCUAUUUGAAACAUUUCUGCAGUUUGUGCCAUUGCAUUUCUGCUUGCCUUGAUUUUAGGACGAUGCAUUUCCUGAGUGUGACCAUUAAUAGAUUUAUUUUAGUUUUUUUGUUAUAAGUUAACCAGGAAGAAUAUGUUGAAUGAAUUAGUAAAUUAUGGUGCAAUUAAUCAUAACUAAUUUUGCAGUGCUGUUUUACGUGUACUAAAAUACCUGUAAUUUACAUGUGCAAGUGUAAUUGCAAAAUGUGUUUUGAUUUUUUUAAUUUAGCUCUUGAUUUAAAAUUGCAAUUUAUUAUCUUGUUUUAAGACUGCAGAUGUUUCUGUGCAUGCAUCUGCAUUAAAUGCAGUGCAGCGUAGAGUAAUGCAACGGCUGAAUUUGGAUUAUGCAGAUGUCAUUUUUAGUCCUCCCUCUGUUAACACUAAUGGGUGUGGGUUAAAUCAAACGGUUGAAUCAUGAGUUUUGCAUAAGUGUUUAAAGUCAGAUACAGACUUAUGGAUUAAGGUCACCAAAAUAUUUGUGACUUUAGAGUGAGUCAUUGUUUGUUAAAAUAAGAACAGUGUCAUUGGUUUUUAAUCGGUGGUUAGUAGAUGAUAAAAAAUGAUACAUGUGUAGGUGAAGAAAACAAAGUGGGUUGAGAUGCAGAAUACUAUGAAAGUGGAUAUUUUGCACACACAAAUAAACAAGCAAACAAGAAAACA
RNA transcript from Carassius gibelio (silver crucian carp), 5395 nucleotides. It is a transcript of the gene named lutropin-choriogonadotropic hormone receptor, with no coding region annotated. The record is from RefSeq and is a predicted model, not a curated record. The transcript has 2 exons. Lineage: Eukaryota; Metazoa; Chordata; Actinopteri; Cypriniformes; Cyprinidae.